GACGAACGCUGGCGGCAUGCCUAAUACAUGCAAGUCGAACGAUGAUAUUCUCUGCUUGCAGCUAUUUUAAUAGUAGCGAACGGGUGAGUAACACGUGGAGAACCUGCCCAUAAGAGUGGGAUAACAUUCGGAAACGGGUGCUAAUACCGCAUAAUGCUUUGAACCGCCUGGUCCAAAAACGAAAGACGGCUUUUCCUUUCACUCAUGGUUGACCCCCCCCCGUAUUGGCUAGUUGGUAAGGUAAUGGCUCACCAAAGCGGUGAUACGUAGCCGCCCUGAGAGGGUGACCGGCCACACGGGGAGUGAGAACCGGCCCAGCUCCCUACGGGAGGCAGCAGGAGGGAAUCUUCGACAAUGGGGGAAAGCCUGCGGGAGAAAUGCGGCGUGAAUGAAGAAGGUCUGCGGAUCGUAAAGUCCUGUUAUUAGAGAAGAACAAGUCAAGGAGUAACUGUCUUGACUUGGACGGUACCUAACAAGAAAGUAACGGCUAACUACGG
RNAcentral lists this ribosomal RNA (497 nucleotides) under uncultured bacterium. Its description in RNAcentral is "partial 16S ribosomal RNA". It matches the Rfam family "Bacterial small subunit ribosomal RNA", at positions 28 to 506 of the family's 1533-position model. The record is from RNAcentral.